This is a long non-coding RNA of Amphibalanus amphitrite, 509 nucleotides long. RefSeq lists it as uncharacterized. The transcript has 2 exons. NCBI's taxonomy places the organism in Eukaryota, Metazoa, Arthropoda, Thecostraca, Balanomorpha, Balanidae. The record is from RefSeq and is a predicted model, not a curated record.
ACAGAGCCAUCCGUGCCGGCAGCCGCUGAUCAUGAAGUUCCUGGCGAUCGUUGUCGUCCUCUUCACCGUGCUCGCCACGGUCAUUGCCGGCCACAAAGGGCACCACUUCAAGGGUCACCACCCUCACCACGGAGGUGGUCAUCACUUCCCGGUUUACCCUCACGGAUAUCACCCCUAUUACCCUCACGGAUAUUACCCCCACGGAUUUCACCACCCCAGUGGAAGUCACCAUUCCAAAGGUCACCCCCACAAAGGCCAUCAUUCUAAAGGCCACCAUUCCAAGGGCCAUCACUCCAAGGGUCAUCAUGGCAAAUAAUCGUUGCGGCGAGGUGACGGCAAAUGCUACAAGGAACAUGGACAAUGGAUAUGGACGCCACAGGACAACCGCCGGGACAACUGGCGCGAUCUGCAGUGCCUACAUUGUCGCUGCGCGAGACCAGCCGCAAUCCCGUUUCUGAGGCACAGUGCUAAUGGUGUUUAGCAUAAUUGUGAAAUAUAACAUGAGAUCC